CUUGUAUAACUUUUACUCUUUUUCAGUUUUCUUUAAAGUAAUUGACUAUCAUAUUCUUUUUUUAAUUAAGAAGAUUUUUAUUCCAGAAAUUCAAAGGUGGCUUACAAAACCCCAAAACACCUAUUCAAGAUCUUUGUAUAGCCAGGCACAGUUUAAAGUCAGAUCUAGCCUUGGGGUUUAAAUAUGGUGCCGCGUCGUGCACAACUUUCACAUGAUGUCAAAAAAGAAAACGUGUAAGCCCGCAUUGUCCUCUUUAUUCAGCUUCUUAAUAUCCAAAUGGGAUAACUUGCAUUUAUUUCUGGUUCCUAAGGAAAACAAAGCAGAACAGAGUUCUAGAUCCCAGAUCCUUCCAGAGUAGCCCCGGCUGUCCUAACGACUUACAUUCAGAUUUUUAUGUGGCACGGUGACGCAUAUCCAUACACCACUACUUGGGAUGCUGAGGCAGAAGUGAGUUGGGGACACCUUGGACUGCAAAGACCACCUGCCUCUCUUGGGGUGGAGCCACCCAUGGUGGACAGAGUUCUCCUACAUCAACCAUUAAUCAAGAAAAUCCCCUGCCCGACGGGCUUGCCUACCGGCCAAUGUGAAAGAGGCAAUUCCUCAGUUGAGAGUCCCUCUUCCCAGAAUAUUGAUAUCAGGAGGUGAUGCCUUGGGAAUAUAGAACAUCAUAAAUGAGAUAGUUACCCCUGUGAAAUAACCCCAAGAGAAGCCUCCUACACUCCCUGCAAUAAGAGUGUACAGCAAACACAUGAACCAGGAAGCCAGCUCUGGCCAGACGCUGAAUCUGCUGGUGAAUUCCAGAGUCCAGAUAGGAACCAUCAGGUAUCGGGCUUCAGGAAAGCAGAUCUCCCAGAUAAACUGGUUGCUUCUCAUAAAUAGUGUCCAAUAACACUGCAAGGAGGAAGAGCCUAAUUACCCUAGGAUAGCCCACUUUGCCAACAAUGGAGGUAUUAUGCUGCUGUGGAGAGGACAAGUAGAAAAGUUUCUUCCAGGUAAUUGCAGAUUUAGGGUGAUGGAGGAAGGCUUGUAUCAUCAGGGAGAAUUUAACAAGCUUUAACAUGGGAAGUUUCUGCAAUUUUAGCCGAUUAUACUUAUGAUUCUAUAUUUGCCCAUUAAUUUGUUUUGAACCGAAUUAACGAAUGGUGUAUCUAGUUAAGAAAUGUG
Molecule: long non-coding RNA, 1164 nt
Filed under: Cricetulus griseus (Chinese hamster)
Lineage: Eukaryota; Metazoa; Chordata; Mammalia; Rodentia; Cricetidae
Description: lncRNA (ENSCGRG00015032967.1)
Source: RNAcentral